ACUCGGCGAAAUAGACUUGUCUGUGAAGAUGCGGACUACCUGCACCUGGACAAAAAGACCCUAUGAAGCUUUACUGUAGCUUGAGAUUGGCUCCGGGCUUUAUUUGCGCAGGAUAGGUGGGAGGCGUUGAAAAUUUCCUUGCGGGGGAAUUUGAGCCAUUGGUGAGAUACCACUCUAAUAAAGCUAGGAUUCUAACCCUAUACCGUUAUCCGGUUAGGGAACAGUCUCAGGUGGUCAGUUUGACUGGGGCGGUUGCCUCCUAAAAGGUAACGGAGG
This 276-nucleotide ribosomal RNA is filed under the name uncultured eukaryote. Its description in RNAcentral is "partial Bacterial large subunit ribosomal RNA". It matches the Rfam family "Bacterial large subunit ribosomal RNA", at positions 2031 to 2306 of the family's 2925-position model. The record is from RNAcentral.